Molecule: ribosomal RNA, 486 nt
Filed under: uncultured bacterium
Lineage: Bacteria
Description: partial 16S ribosomal RNA
Rfam family: Bacterial small subunit ribosomal RNA
Source: RNAcentral
AUUGAACGCUGGCGGCAUGCCUUACACAUGCAAGUCGAACGGCAGCACGGGUGCUUGCCCCUGGUGGCGAGUGGCGAACGGGUGAGUAAUACAUCGGAACAUGUCCUUUAGUGGGGGAUAGCCCGGCGAAAGCCGGAUUAAUACCGCAUACGAUCUACGGAUGAAAGCGGGGGACCUUCGGGCCUCGCGCUAUAGGGUUGGCCGAUGGCUGAUUAGCUGGUUGGUGGGGUAAAGGCCUACCAAGGCGACGAUCAGUAGCUGGUCUGAGAGGACGACCAGCCACACUGGGACUGAGACACGGCCCAGACUCCUACGGGAGGCAGCAGUGGGGAAUUUUGGACAAUGGGCGAAAGCCUGAUCCAGCAAUGCCGCGUGUGUGAAGAAGGCCUUCGGGUUGUAAAGCACUUUUGUCCGGAAAGAAAUCCUUGGCUCUAAUACAGUCGGGGGAUGACGGUACCGGAAGAAUAAGCACCGGCUAACUACGUG